GGACAUCAAGGGGGUGCAACUCAAUUACAUGAUGGAAUCUGGAAAAUUUACAGCAUUGCACAAAAGACUUGGCCACCGUAAAGUCUAAGACAAAAUAUUACCAAGAGGAGAGAUUCUUUCCCAUUGAACAAAACAACUAACAGCAGAAUCCGUGUAUGUGUAUGUACGCAUGGGGAUUUUACCUUGUCUAAAUUUCGACCCAAGAAGUAAUCUAUUGCAAUGUUAAUAGCCUGGAAAUUGAGAAAGAAUUAUAUGUCCCAAGAUAAAGGGAACUAUAGGCAUGGCCAUGGCCAUGGCCAUGC
This 302-nucleotide unclassified non-coding RNA is filed under the name Hevea brasiliensis (rubber tree). The record is from RNAcentral. Lineage: Eukaryota; Viridiplantae; Streptophyta; Magnoliopsida; Malpighiales; Euphorbiaceae.